GAAAUACGCCCUUACAGCUGGGCAGUACACAACCCGGACAACUGCACAUAACAGUCCCGAGUGCCGUCCACAACUUACUACAGACACUUUGUAGGAGAAGGGGGGUCUGCUUCUCCCAGGAGGCCAUAAGCUCUCAGAGGCUAGGGCAGUGGGUCCUCUGGAGGCACAUCCAGAACCCACCCCUGGCUGGAUCUAAAAUCAGCACUCGGUGACUGCUAAGCUAAGGGUCACACACUGCUGUUUUUGUUUUUUUUUUUGGCACUGGGGACUGAACCCAGGGUCCCUCAACCACUGAGCCCCAUCCCCAGCCCUAUUUUGGGUUUUAUUUAGAGACAGGGUCUCACUGAGUUGCUUAGCAUCUCAUCAUUGCUGAGGCUGGCUUUGAACUCGUGAUCCUCCUGCCUCAGCCUCCCGAGCUGCGGGGAUCACAGGCAUGUGCCCGGCCCACACCUACUUUGGCAGCCGGAGAAGCCGUGGCCUACACCAGCUCUGGCCGCCCCGGGUGGCACUGUCUGCACGGACCCCUCUCCUCUGGGGGAGGCCACGGUCUCCAGUCCCUGCUCUGCCUUCUCUCAAGCCACAGCUGGACGCACACCCCAGUGUGGGUGGCCACCUGUCCCUGACUACAGAGAGCUGAGGGGCAAGACCUGUCACCAGGCCUGGUGCUUGGUGAUGCAGGAGACCCGCCUCAUCCUGCACCCCGAGGGACAAGCCCAGGGUGGCCCAGCUGCUGUCCAGCUCCAGCCUGGGCAGUGUCCAGCCUUCAGGGACCCCGCCAGCCCCCCAGCAGGCAGACCUCCAGCCCUGGCCAACGGGGGGAGCCAGACAGGUCAUCCCAGAACCAGCCAGUCUGUCCGGAAAACUCUCA
Molecule: long non-coding RNA, 868 nt
Filed under: Marmota monax (woodchuck)
Lineage: Eukaryota; Metazoa; Chordata; Mammalia; Rodentia; Sciuridae
Source: RNAcentral